ACAUUUUGAGUUUUACCUGACAACAUCACAAACGUAGUCCUGUCCUGUACCUAGUUUAUAAAAGAUCGUGUUUUCCUGUACGGGUUCCGGUUCCCUGUUCAUCAUGCUAGCUGGAUGGCAUGGCGUGGCAUCUGUACAUAAAAACUCUGAAUGAUGUACAGCAAUGAAGAUGAGGACGAGCUAAAAAAUGAGUUAAUUUGGAUCAACCUUAUAUUUUAUAGGUUGAAGUGAAAACUGGACAUUAAAUUCAUUGAAUGAGAUGAAAGACAACCAUCUGACAACUGAUUGAAACCGUUUAAGGUGGUUUGGAGGCCAAAGCUUACCAGAUCAACUAUCAUUUUAACUGUAGCAAAAAUACUAUUUAGGUAAGUAAAAUUUUGAUUAGUUUACAUGUUGUGAUGUAUAAAGUAGUUUGCAUGAAGAGCUAUACUAAUGUAGUGUGGAAGGUCUUGGUGAAUCACAACAUUUUGAAGCAUCAGUUUUGACUUUUUUUUUUCUUGAGUAUUGUGACUUUAACAAAAAUAAAUUCAGUUAAAUAUA
Molecule: long non-coding RNA, 540 nt
Organism: Daphnia magna
Lineage: Eukaryota; Metazoa; Arthropoda; Branchiopoda; Diplostraca; Daphniidae
Exons: 3
Source: RefSeq, a predicted model, not a curated record